This 235-nucleotide long non-coding RNA is filed under the name Phoenix dactylifera (date palm). Its description in RNAcentral is "long non-coding RNA (PDAC_LNC022557)". The record is from RNAcentral. Lineage: Eukaryota; Viridiplantae; Streptophyta; Magnoliopsida; Arecales; Arecaceae.
UCAAAAGCUAUUUCUGAGUAUUUAUGACUACAGCCUUGCUCCAUCUAUAAUUCUAUAUUUUGCUGGUUGUAUUGGCUGAACCGACGAAUUUCAUAUGAUAUUCAGUCCGAUUAUCCAAACAAAUUUUUAGAAAAGAGGUCAAAAAUAAAAAGACGAGGAAGAGAAAGACGGCAACGCGUGGCUCAUAUACUGUUUGCGGGACCCACUACAUGACAAGGACUAUUCGUCACAUUUU